GUGUCACGUGAGACAAGACAAGGUCAGCGCUCCCCGUGACGAGGGUGGAAGAGGCCCUCCAGCCUGACAGCAGGCAUAUCGUUUAGGCAUUGCCACCACCUCUGUGGCAUCUAACCAUCUUUUCUU
Molecule: small nuclear RNA, 126 nt
Organism: Nycticebus coucang (slow loris)
Lineage: Eukaryota; Metazoa; Chordata; Mammalia; Primates; Lorisidae
Source: RefSeq, a predicted model, not a curated record